This 184-nucleotide non-coding RNA is filed under the name Lysinibacillus odysseyi 34hs-1 = NBRC 100172. Its description in RNAcentral is "6S / SsrS RNA". It matches the Rfam family "6S / SsrS RNA". From Rfam's summary of the family: E. coli 6S RNA was the first non coding RNA to be sequenced, but its function was unknown until recently. Lineage: Bacteria; Bacillati; Bacillota; Bacilli; Caryophanales; Bacillaceae. The record is from Rfam by way of RNAcentral.
UUGAAGCUACGUUGUACGUGUAAUAUUAAGUUUUAACCUUUAUACAGUAACAGGGAGUUUUAUAUCCAAGCUGAAAUGGCGGGCCCGGGCUCCUUUGACCUCGGGAUAAACAGGAAAGCUUAUGCGAACACCCACUUGGAGAAGUGUGGUUUAAAACUUUCUAUAAUGUCGCGGCAUCGUGGCU